RNAcentral lists this ribosomal RNA (1411 nucleotides) under Enterococcus durans. RNAcentral describes it as "bacterial SSU rRNA". It matches the Rfam family "Bacterial small subunit ribosomal RNA". Lineage: Bacteria; Bacillati; Bacillota; Bacilli; Lactobacillales; Enterococcaceae. The record is from RNAcentral.
GCAGUCGUACGCUUCUAUUUUCCACCGGAGCUUGCUCCACCGGAAAAAGAAGAGUGGCGAACGGGUGAGUAACACGUGGGUAACCUGCCCAUCAGAAGGGGAUAACACUUGGAAACAGGUGCUAAUACCGUAUAACAAUCGAAACCGCAUGGUUUUGAUUUGAAAGGCGCUUUCGGGUGUCGCUGAUGGAUGGACCCGCGGUGCAUUAGCUAGUUGGUGAGGUAACGGCUCACCAAGGCCACGAUGCAUAGCCGACCUGAGAGGGUGAUCGGCCACAUUGGGACUGAGACACGGCCCAAACUCCUACGGGAGGCAGCAGUAGGGAAUCUUCGGCAAUGGACGAAAGUCUGACCGAGCAACGCCGCGUGAGUGAAGAAGGUUUUCGGAUCGUAAAACUCUGUUGUUAGAGAAGAACAAGGAUGAGAGUAACUGUUCAUCCCUUGACGGUAUCUAACCAGAAAGCCACGGCUAACUACGUGCCAGCAGCCGCGGUAAUACGUAGGUGGCAAGCGUUGUCCGGAUUUAUUGGGCGUAAAGCGAGCGCAGGCGGUUUCUUAAGUCUGAUGUGAAAGCCCCCGGCUCAACCGGGGAGGGUCAUUGGAAACUGGGAGACUUGAGUGCAGAAGAGGAGAGUGGAAUUCCAUGUGUAGCGGUGAAAUGCGUAGAUAUAUGGAGGAACACCAGUGGCGAAGGCGGCUCUCUGGUCUGUAACUGACGCUGAGGCUCGAAAGCGUGGGGAGCAAACAGGAUUAGAUACCCUGGUAGUCCACGCCGUAAACGAUGAGUGCUAAGUGUUGGAGGGUUUCCGCCCUUCAGUGCUGCAGCUAACGCAUUAAGCACUCCGCCUGGGGAGUACGACCGCAAGGUUGAAACUCAAAGGAAUUGACGGGGGCCCGCACAAGCGGUGGAGCAUGUGGUUUAAUUCGAAGCAACGCGAAGAACCUUACCAGGUCUUGACAUCCUUUGACCACUCUAGAGAUAGAGCUUCCCCUUCGGGGGCAAAGUGACAGGUGGUGCAUGGUUGUCGUCAGCUCGUGUCGUGAGAUGUUGGGUUAAGUCCCGCAACGAGCGCAACCCUUAUUGUUAGUUGCCAUCAUUUAGUUGGGCACUCUAGCAAGACUGCCGGUGACAAACCGGAGGAAGGUGGGGAUGACGUCAAAUCAUCAUGCCCCUUAUGACCUGGGCUACACACGUGCUACAAUGGGAAGUACAACGAGUCGCGAAGUCGCGAGGCUAAGCUAAUCUCUUAAAGCUUCUCUCAGUUCGGAUUGUAGGCUGCAACUCGCCUACAUGAAGCCGGAAUCGCUAGUAAUCGCGGAUCAGCACGCCGCGGUGAAUACGUUCCCGGGCCUUGUACACACCGCCCGUCACACCACGAGAGUUUUAACACCCGAAGUCGGGAGGUAACCUU